GGAUAUGAGUAGAGCGGCGGACGGGUGAGUAACGCGUAGGAAUCUACCUAGUAGAAGGGGAUAGCCCGGGGAAACUCGGAUUAAUACCGUAUACCUCCUUCGGGAGAAAGAAGGCCUCUCAUUGAAGCUUUCGCUACUAGAUGAGCCUGCGUAAGAUUAGCUUGUUGGUGAGGUAAAGGCUCACCAAGGCGACGAUCUUUAGCGGGUCUGAGAGGACGAUCCGCCACAUUGGGACUGAGACACGGCCCAGACUCCUACGGGAGGCAGCAGUGGGGAAUAUUGGACAAUGGGCGCAAGCCUGAUCCAGCCAUACCGCGUGUGUGAAGAAGGCCCUAGGGUUGUAAAGCACUUUAAGUUGGGAAGAAAAGUUAUUGGUUAAUACCCAAUAGCCGUGACAUUACCAUCAGAAUAAGGACCGGCUAAUUCCGUGCCAGCAAG
This 438-nucleotide ribosomal RNA is filed under the name uncultured bacterium. Its description in RNAcentral is "bacterial SSU rRNA". It matches the Rfam family "Bacterial small subunit ribosomal RNA", at positions 82 to 515 of the family's 1533-position model. The record is from RNAcentral.